This 226-nucleotide long non-coding RNA is filed under the name Elaeis guineensis (African oil palm). RNAcentral's name for it is "long non-coding RNA (EGUI_LNC007407)". Lineage: Eukaryota; Viridiplantae; Streptophyta; Magnoliopsida; Arecales; Arecaceae. The record is from RNAcentral.
GGGUAAGUGGCUCAAUAAGGUAUAUGAUUGGUUUGAGGAAUGGUUGAUCCAAGCUGCAAAACCUCUCCCAACCUUGCUGCCCAAUCUAUUGCCCUAUCCAAAAUCCUAUCUAGAAAGUGAAAAUCUAUCUUAUGGCUUAUCAUGAUGAUGUGGUCACUGAGGACUUGUUUGGUUCACAGGAAGUGGAGGAGGGGAGAGAUAAUUCCUGGGAAGUGGAGAGGGGAUC